CGCCUUUCCUCUGUCCGUAGAGUCGUCGAUCGUCUUCCAGUCGUUAGAUCUGUGGUGCAGAUUAGAUUCGGCUCCUAGCCGCCCAGCCACACAGGCUUCUUCCGGCCACUGCUCGUCGCACUGCCGCUGGAGACCACGCACCGCCUGACCUUUCUCUUUCGUUCGCCACCGUCUUGUCGGUUUUUAAGUGUUGAGACUGGUUGGGUAAGUGUUUUUUUUUAACUUCGGAGAUUUAUUGUUAACUAAGAUUUUGGUAUGGUUUGAUUAACCCAUAAUGUUGGGAUUCUAGAAUCAAAAUUUGGGUUGAUUUUGAGGUGGCCCACCAAGUUUGAAGUUUUAAGACCAAUUUCGGUGGAAAAUUUGUUAAGGUGUCGCUUCAAGGCUUUGCUUGGCAAGGAGGGGAUAAGCUUGCUUGAACUAAUUUGGAUUUACUUAAUCUUAUUACUGGAACCACCUUUGUACUGGGCGAUAAAUUUAUGAUUUAUUUUGAUGAUUUUAAGACUAGUUACAAGGAUAAUUUUGACUGUUCUGAGAUUUAAUGGACUCUUUAGAAAAGAUAUAUGAGCAUGUGAUAAUAUGUCUGAAGCAUUUUAAUGUAUGAGCAUGAUUUAGAAUUUUAUGAGACAUAUUAAAAGUAUGAUUGAGCAUGACCCUAAA
Non-coding RNA from Benincasa hispida (wax gourd), 657 nucleotides. Lineage: Eukaryota; Viridiplantae; Streptophyta; Magnoliopsida; Cucurbitales; Cucurbitaceae. The record is from RefSeq and is a predicted model, not a curated record.